GCACAAGCAGUGGAGUAUGUGGUUUAAUUCGGCGCAACGCGAAGAACCUUACCUGGGCUAGAAUGCCUCUGACAACCCUAGAGAUAGGGCCUUCCGGGUAAAACCAGACAGAGUGCAAGGUGCUGCAUGGCUGUCAUCAGCUCGUGUCGUGAGAUGUUGGGUUAAGUCCCGCAACGAGCGCAACCUUUAUCAAUAGUUGCCAGCAUUUAGUUGGGCACUCUAUUGAGACUGCCGUUGACAAAACGGAGGAAG
RNAcentral lists this ribosomal RNA (252 nucleotides) under uncultured bacterium. RNAcentral's name for it is "partial 16S ribosomal RNA". It matches the Rfam family "Bacterial small subunit ribosomal RNA", at positions 923 to 1172 of the family's 1533-position model. The record is from RNAcentral.